UCAUAUCUUCGGGGCCGUUCACAACGCA
RNAcentral lists this small RNA (28 nucleotides) under Bombyx mori (domestic silkworm). Its description in RNAcentral is "ovarian small RNA-25984". Lineage: Eukaryota; Metazoa; Arthropoda; Insecta; Lepidoptera; Bombycidae. The record is from RNAcentral.